UAAAACGUAGGACGCAAGCGUUAUCCGGAGUUACUGGGCGUAAAGGGCGUGUAGGCGGCUUGGCAAGUGGCUCGUGAAAGACUUCGGCUCAACCGGGGGUGGACGGGUCAGACUGCCAGGCUGGAGGAUGUCAGAAGGACACGGAAUUCCGGGUGUAGUGGUGAAAUGCGUAGAGAUCCGGAGGAACACCAGUGGCGCAGGCGGUGUCCUGGGGCGUACCUGACGCUGAGACGCGAAAGCAUGGGGAGCGAACGGGAUUAGAAACCCCGGUAGUCCAUGCCGUAAACGAUGCCGACUAGGGGUUCGGUGAAAACUGGGUCCCGCAGCCAACGCGCUAAGUCGGCCGCCUGGGGAGUACGGUCGCAAGGCUA
Molecule: ribosomal RNA, 371 nt
Filed under: uncultured bacterium
Lineage: Bacteria
Description: bacterial SSU rRNA
Rfam family: Bacterial small subunit ribosomal RNA
Source: RNAcentral